UGAGGAGUCCCAUUAUUUCUGUUCAAACUGUUCCACUUCGCAUGGAAUGAAUAUUCAUCAGGCUCAUGAGGGAAUGAAAGUAUAAAAGUAUAUCUAUAGCUGGGUUGUUAGGAUGCUCAGCAGGGAAGGUGGGUGAGUUGUAUGAAGGGAUACAUAAGGUGAGUCCUUGCUUGAAUUCUUGCAACAAAAGCAAGAAAACACUCCCUCAAGCAAGAGCACCCCCACCCCCCCACCCAGGUGAGUCAGAUGAGUGCAUGAGCGUAUAAACCACUUUUUUUUUUUUUUUUUUUUUUUUUUUUUUUUUUUUAUUACAUCACUUGUGUGUGUCCAGAAGAACAACUUCAGCAGAAGUGCUUUUUCAGGCAGGGUAAUAGUGGAUCUUCCACUUCCUAUCUGAGUGCUCUCAGGUAGUGGAUGUGUGCAGGAAGAAAGGCUUCUUAUCCUCCCACCGUGCAAGUUAAAUAAGCAAUACAGUCUAAGCAUGUCCUGAAUUACCUGGCCAGGACACUCAUAUGUGCAGGACCAGAACCAGGAAACAGAAUCAGGAAACAUUUGUCAACAUUAUGAAAAGGAUGCACUAUGGAGGUUCCUUGUCCUAAAAACACAGAAACAUGGACCCGGAAAGGACUACAGGAAGCUGACCUGCCCAGGCUUAGAGUUGUCCCGACCAGCUUUUGGGGAUGUCUGAUUUUUCAGACUCAUUUGACUUCUGGUUCUGAACUUGUCACCAAAGAAGCUGAAGCCCAAUGCCAAUACUAUUAGUGAAGAUCUACAUUCAUUGUCAUGACUCAUAUGACCUAGAGUGGGCCUCUACAGUCAACUGGGAGUAUUGGCAAGUAUUCCUUCUGACCUGGACUCUGUCCCCUGUGUUCCCAGAACCUCAUAGUCACUUCAUUAGUGCCCACAUGGAUGAGUAACGUGAAUAGCAUGAGUCACAGUCAGGGACUGGAUAUGCCCCAACAGUCUUUCCACUGUGCCUAAGGUUUUGGAUUAGUAAAGAAGCCUAUGUCCUGGCAGGAAGGUCAGACUGGCAGAUGGAUGUCUCUGGCCCCAUUACAAGAGUCUCUAAUCAUCCACUCAGAAGUUUAUUGCUGGAGCAGCACAACAAAUAACAGGAUUGUAUAUUACUGAAGAGCUGGGCUGAAAUGUAUUUGUCUUGAAACAAAAAAACAAACAAACAAAGCAAAGCAAAACAAAAAACAAAAAGAACAACAACAACAACAACAAAAAUCAGUAUUUAUCCCUCCUAAAAGAUGUUUACUUUUCUUCCCUACUGGGGUCAAUGGGGAACCUCUGGCUUCUUAUUUCACUAGGCACAGGACCUGAUUCUUAAACAAACCAAAAGUUUUUGUGAUUACUGACUUGGAAACUGAGGGACUGGUCAAAAUACUUUCAACUUCUCUUGUAACUUGAUUUUGAUACUUGGCAGAAAUUUAAGAAAUACUCUUACUUCUUCUUCUCCUAUUUAACGGAUUGCUUCAGCAUUUUUCCUCUUUCACAGCAGGUUUUUUGGUUGUGAAACUCUGUAAAACUCACCUAACUAUAAUGGAGAGUUUUAAAUGAUCUGUUCAGACAGAUUUUUAGAAUGUAAUACAAGCAUAUAUUUCUGAACAUCAAUGCAAUAGUAGAAUGGAGAAAAAAAAACAUUUAACACUACUCACUGUGUACAUUUCUCAUCAUUAAACAGUUGAAAUCCACAUGUCAGCUAUGAUGCAAUUCUGUAAUAGUGCCUCUUCUUUUUCUCAUAUACAUAUGUUAUGAA
RNAcentral lists this long non-coding RNA (1762 nucleotides) under Anas platyrhynchos platyrhynchos (common mallard). RNAcentral describes it as "lncRNA (ENSAPLG00000024001.1)". Lineage: Eukaryota; Metazoa; Chordata; Aves; Anseriformes; Anatidae. The record is from RNAcentral.